GACGAACGCUGGCGGCGUGCUUAACACAUGCAAGUCGUACGGUAAGGCCCUUUCUGGGGUACACGAGUGGCGAACGGGGGAGUAAAACGUGAGUAACCUGCCCACAACUUUGGGAUAACGCUAGGAAACUGGGGCUAAUACUGGAUAUGUGCUCCUGCUGCAUGGUGGGGGUUGGAAAGCUCCGGCGGUUGUGGAUGGACUCGCGGCCUAUCAGCUUGUUGGUGGGGUAGUGGCCUACCAAGGCGGCGACGGGUAGCCGGCCUGAGAGGGUGACCGGCCACCUUGGGACUGAGAUGCGGCCCAGACUGCUACGGGAGGACGCAGUGGGGAAUAUUGAACAAUGGGCGCCAGCCUGGUGCAGAAACGCCGCGUGCGGGAUGACGGCCUUCGGGUUGUAAACCGGUUUCAGCAGGGACGAAGCUUGUUGUGACGUUACCUGCAGAAGAAGCACCGGCUAACUACGUG
Molecule: ribosomal RNA, 465 nt
Filed under: uncultured bacterium
Lineage: Bacteria
Description: partial 16S ribosomal RNA
Rfam family: Bacterial small subunit ribosomal RNA
Source: RNAcentral